UUCUCAAGUUUUUUGCAGCAGCCAUCUCCUGAACCCUAGCCGCCACCCCCCAUCUCCUCUUCUCCAAGUGUCGUUCUUCCUCGUCGGAUCUUCUUCGUGUGGGUGCAAGUUUCAAUUGGAGAAUUGGUGGGAGGAAGGAAGGAGGAAAAAGGUGGAACUCAAGGUGAUCUUGAAGUUAUCUUUGUUUUUGCGCUAAAAUUCAAUUGAUUAUAUGUUUAUCUAUGCGAAUCGGUAGAGGUGCUGUCCAGAAUUUUUGUAGGAGGGCGAACAGCAGUAGUUCUAUGGAUUUCUGGGAAUUUUUCGUGGGCAAUUAGUGGGGACCAGUGGAAGAAUCAUGUAGAGCUUUGUCAUACCUUUCCAACGAGUACUUAUGCGCUCGAUUCGGAGUUAUAAUUUAGGAGAUAUCGUUGUUUGAAUCCGGUUAUGUUGCUGUCCAAAAAAACAGAUUUUUCAGGUGGGUGAACAGCAAUAGUAUUAGCAGUUCCUGGGAAUUUUUCGUGGGUAAUUACUGUUAACCAGUAUAAUAAUCAUGUAGGGCUUUGUCUUAUCUUUCCAAUGAAUACUUAUGCGCUUGAUUUGGAAUUCUAUUUUAAAAGAUACCGCUGUUUGAAUCCGGGUAUGUCGCUGUCCAAAAGACAAAAAAAACAUAUUACAGGGUUCAUCUUGUGGACUGUUUUGGGCUAAUUAGAUGUUGGAAUUUAAUUAUAAAUUGUAUACAAAAUUUGUGGGGAAUUUUAUGUAGAUGCCUCUGGAGUUUUUGUUUGUUACCACUGCUGUCAUAAUUUUAAAGUUAUGAAAUUAUUAAGCAGCGCCGCUGCAGUUUGGUGGGUGUGGGGAGAGAUGUAACCCGCGGCGGGGUUUGAGUUUGUGCGUAGGUGCGGUGUCUUUUAUGAGCCUGAUUAUGUGAAAUUGGUGCACUAAGUUGUGUAUCAAAAACAGGUGGUGGACUUCCGGAUCGUACUUAGGGAUUUGCCCGAACUUCC
Molecule: long non-coding RNA, 983 nt
Filed under: Zea mays
Lineage: Eukaryota; Viridiplantae; Streptophyta; Magnoliopsida; Poales; Poaceae
Description: long non-coding RNA (ZMAY_LNC004198)
Source: RNAcentral